Etheostoma spectabile (orangethroat darter) is the source of this 99-nucleotide long non-coding RNA. RefSeq lists it as uncharacterized. NCBI's taxonomy places the organism in Eukaryota, Metazoa, Chordata, Actinopteri, Perciformes, Percidae. The transcript is spliced from 4 exons. The record is from RefSeq and is a predicted model, not a curated record.
AUGUAAGGUCAAUUUGAUGGCUUAAAAAAAUACUUGAGUCUUACAUGCUUGUUGCUAUCUUUAAAACUAUGUCUAGAGGCACUGAUGUAUAACUUUGAC